AGAGUUUGAUCCUGGCUCAGGACGAACGCUGGCGGCAUGCCUAAUACAUGCAAGUCGAGCGAACAGAUGAAGUGCUUGCACUUCUGACGUUAGCGGCGAACGGGUGAGUAACACGUAAGGAAUCUACCUAUAAGCGGGGGAUAACAUUCGGAAACGGGUGCUAAUACCGCAUAAUAUCUUCUUCCGCAUGGAAGGAGAUUGAAAGACGGCUCUGCUGUCACUUAUAGAUGACCUUGCGGUGCAUUAGUUAGUUGGUGGGGUAACGGCCUACCAAGACGAUGAUGCAUAGCCGACCUGAGAGGGUGAUCGGCCACAUUGGGACUGAGACACGGCCCAAACUCCUACGGGAGGCAGCAGUAGGGAAUCUUCCGCAAUGGGCGAAAGCCUGACGGAGCAAUGCCGCGUGAGUGAAGAAGGCCUUCGGGUCGUAAAACUCUGUUAUAAGAGAAGAACAAAUUGUAGAGUAACUGCUACAGUCUUGACGGUAUCUUAUCAGAAAGCCACGGCUAACUACGUGCCAGCAGCCGCGGUAAGACGUAGGGGGCGAGCGUUGUCCGGAAUUACUGGGCGUAAAGAGCACGUAGGCGGGAUUUUAAGUCAGGUGUGAAAGACCGUGGCUCAACCACGGGGUUGCACAUGAAACUGGAAUUCUUGAGGGCAGGAGAGGAAAGUGGAAUUCCCGGUGUAGCGGUGAAAUGCGUAGAAAUCAGGAGGAACACCGGUGGCGAAGGCGACUUUCUGGACUGACCCUGACGCUGAGGUGCGAAAGCGUGGGUAGCAAACAGGAUUAGAUACCCUGGUAGUCCACGCUGUAAACGAUGGAUACUAGGUGUGGGAGGUAUCGACCCCUUCCGUGCCGCAGCAAACGCAAUAAGUAUCCCGCCUGGGGAGUACGGUCGCAAAGCUGAAACUCAAAGGAAUUGACGG
RNAcentral lists this ribosomal RNA (927 nucleotides) under uncultured bacterium. RNAcentral's name for it is "bacterial SSU rRNA". It matches the Rfam family "Bacterial small subunit ribosomal RNA", at positions 8 to 916 of the family's 1533-position model. The record is from RNAcentral.